GUCCAAUUAACAGAAAAAACCUCACAGAACGAGGGGUUAAAAAAAGAAAAGAAAAAGGAAGUCUUUUUUUUUUGGAUAGAAAAUGGAGGGGCAGAACAGAAGCAAGUGGAUAUGGCGUUUCGUGUCGUCUUCUCAUUCAUUGUUUCGAACCUUCCCUUCCGAUAUGGCAAGUGCGCGAACUUUUUUUCCCAAUUUCCACAGGUACUCUCUUAUUCCACUUGUUGUAGUUCUAUAAUUAUCCUGUUUGCUGUGCUCAUGCCAAGACUCAAAACUUAUUUUACUUAACAACAGGGGUUGAUCCUCCUGUUUACUGAGUUUAAUGCAUGCCAAACUAGUCUUUGAGCUUUGAAUUAAAGUCAGAAACUGAACCCAAAAUUCAAAUUCUAAAAUGGUAUUAUGGUAGAGAAGGAAAGCUAAAAAAUUGGAUUAGCUUUUUCAUACCAAAUGUUUUCCAACUCGAUUUGGUGGCUUUGUUUUGCGGUGUGUUUAUUUUAGGAGUAUGGAUAUGCUUCCUUUUAUUGAUCAUACUCUGAAUUUUGCUGGUUUUGGUCUGCAAAUAUCAUAUGAUCUUCCCAACUCUGUAAUGGUUCUCAUAUUUCUGAUUUUUCUUUGCUUAUAGUGAUGGUUAUCGGAUUGGAUAAGUUCGCCCUGUUGAUGAUGGAAUGAGAUAAAGGGUAAAGAAUAUUUUGGGACAUCUGUGGCUCAUGGGUUUUUGAUAUUUCAGGAUUUUAUCUCCUAAAUUCUUCAAUUUAAACAGAAUAUAUAGAUUGUGCUAUUUUGGAGAUUCCCUGUAUGCUGCCAUGCAAAAGCAGAAUAUUCUAUAUUCCAAGGCCUCUUUCGGCUUUGGAACCAGCCUUGAUAGGCAAUUUGGUUCUAGAAUUCUUUAUGUAAUUCCAACCAUGAAUCUUUGUAGAUGUAAUGUGAAAUCGUUUCUUGUACCACCCAAAAUUCUGCCCAUCACCAGGACUGCAGGGUUGGAUUUUCUGAAAAACGGCGAAGCUUUGCAACCUGGAAGAAUCAAAGGUGUAGCUUAUGGAAAUCCUGGGGAAUUAUCUGAUGAAGACGAAGAUCUGUGUCCUGUGGAUUGUGUUAGAGAAUUUAAGAGUGAUGAGGAAUUCUUCAAAAUUCUUGAAAAUGCCAAAGAAACUUGUUCAUUAGUGGUGGUUGAUUUUUAUCGCCCUUCUUGUGGAAGCUGCAAGUAUAUAGAGCAGGGAUUUGCAAAAUUAUGCAAGGGAGCUGGUGAUGAAGAGGCUGCAGUGGUUUUCUUAAAGCAUAAUGUGAGUAGUUUUGUAAGCUGAGUUUGUUUGGGUUGCACAAGACCUUUAUGGGUAUCACCUAAAUUUUCAAAGACUUAAUUUUACUAACAAGGACUGUAUAUGAAAAGGACAUAGUGUUUGGAAACUAAGAAUAAUCUAAUGUAUUCUAAAUGAUCAAUGUACUUGCUACCUAAUAUGAUUCCCCUAAGAAGGAAUCAACCAAGAAAGCAGGACACCUCUGAUCAAUUAUAAUCUUGAGUUCUUGUGCCAAGUCUGUAAUUUAAAACAAGUGAACAACUGACAAGCACUUUGAAUGACAGUGUGGGUGUGAAUUCUCCAGUGCAGGUUGGGGCCUGUCUUGUUUGGCAAAAUCAGUGUCAUAAAGUUCUAAUGUUAACUGAAUUUUUGGUGCUAUUUAUUGCAGGUAAUUGAUGAGUAUGAUGAACAAUCUGAGGUUGCCGAACGGCUUAGAAUAAAGGUAAUAUGUAGUAUAUUUAUUUUUAUUGAUUAUUAUUACUUUUUUAUCUGAGAGUAUGUCCUGAAUAUUGUUGUCAACUUAUUAUUAGUAUUCUGGUCCGUGCUACUCCUUGAUCAAAACUACAAUUCAUCAUAUUAGAUUCACGCUGAUACAAUCUUGAGGUUUCUCUUACUUGAUGCAGACGGUGCCCCUCUUCCAUUUCUAUAAAAAUGGAGUCCUGUUGGAAGCAUUCCCUACCAGAGACAAGGAGAGAAUUAUUGCAGCAAUUCUUAAAUACACAUCUCCUGCAUCUAAAUCCCACAUGAAUUAAUCAGGUUAUGUUCUCAAAAUUUGUUCCUGCAGGAAAAUAAUAAAAAUACUUGGAAUGAAAGUACAUGUGGUUGACUACUACGGAAUAGUCGUAUGUAAUAAAUACUGGGUAUACCUAAAAGAUACUGUCUUUUGAGUGUGAAAAGUAAAAUUACGUGUCUUCAUACUUGCAUUCAUUAGCUAUUGGAUUAAUACCAUCUCAUGCUAGUUUAUUGUCCACUGUACAUGGGGUUAUUCUAUGUUGAUGUGAAGAUGAUCCAAUGAAGAUGUAGAUGAUCAUUUGAAGCACAAUUAGAUAUGAAACCAAUAGUUGAUUCGGCCAUUGUAGUAGAAGUUGCAUCUGUUCCAAGGAAGUAGGACAGGAGUAAUUUGACUCUGGCAGGAUGCCAGCAAAGAAAUGGUUAUAUUGAGCUCAUAUCUUGUUAUGUUCCUUGUAUACUGCAUAGUGCUGUUAGUAUAUGUUUCUUGUUGACAUGACCAGAUGUUCUUUAGCUUCUGAUUAGGAGUGCAGGACUGUGAAUGAGUGAUGACGAGAUUUAUUCUGAAAUGCUAGGAGCUUCAAUAUAGGGAAUAGGAUCAAUCCAUGUGUUCACGCCCUUUAUGAAUUCUGAAAAGUUGUCCAAAGUUUUGUUGAAGGCAAUCACAAAGACGAGCCGUUUGGCUUCAGUUAAAUUGAUCUUACACAAAAAAGACUACAUUGAAGGAUGCAAUAUGAAAACUUUCAGGAAUUGUUAAAAGGGAAAACUGCUGCUGCUUCUUCUUCUUCUU
RNAcentral lists this unclassified non-coding RNA (2811 nucleotides) under Hevea brasiliensis (rubber tree). Lineage: Eukaryota; Viridiplantae; Streptophyta; Magnoliopsida; Malpighiales; Euphorbiaceae. The record is from RNAcentral.